This 487-nucleotide ribosomal RNA is filed under the name uncultured bacterium. RNAcentral's name for it is "SSU rRNA". It matches the Rfam family "Bacterial small subunit ribosomal RNA", at positions 26 to 523 of the family's 1533-position model. The record is from RNAcentral.
AGAACGAACGUUGGCGGCGUGGAUUAGGCAUGCAAGUCGAAUGAAUCCCAUCUGGGUAACUGGGUGGGGGAAAUGGCGAAAGGGGCAGUAAGGCAUGGGCAACCUACCCCGGGGACGGGGAUAGCCAUUCUAACGAGUGGGUAAUACCUGGCGAUUCGGCGGGGGGGCAUCUCCCUGCCGGGAAAUGAAUUUCGCCUCGGGAGGGGCUCAUGUAGUAUUAGCUAGUUGGUAAGGUAACGGCUUACCAAGGCGAAGAUGCUUAGCGGGUGUGAGAGCACGACCCGCGCCACUGGCACUGAGACACUGGCCAGACUCCUACGGGAGGCUGCAGUCGAGGAUCUUCGGCAAUGGGCGCAAGCCUGACCGAGCGACGCCGCGUGUGCGAAGAAGGCCUUCGGGUUGUAAAGCACUGUCGAGGGAAGAAGCCGCAAGGUUGAUCGACCCUGGAGGAAGCGACGGGCUAAGUUCGCGCCAGCAGCCGCGGUAA